This is a non-coding RNA of Cinara cedri, 890 nucleotides long. The record is from the annotation of a GenBank genome assembly. NCBI's taxonomy places the organism in Eukaryota, Metazoa, Arthropoda, Insecta, Hemiptera, Aphididae.
UAAAGCUCGAGCUUUGUAAAUGAAAAAUAAAAAUAAAGCCAUCGUUUACAAUCUAUUCGCUUCUCCAUAAAAACGCGUUUCGCCCAACACAGUUUACAAUAUGCCGAUAUAAUAUAUCCGAAUGUCCCGUUGAAAAAUCGCCGGCACGCAUUCGAAUAAUUUUUGAAAAACUACCAUCUUUGCCCGUUCGUACCGCACUAACCCCAUUAAAACACAUUGUUGUUAGUUCACUUAUCGGUGUUACACAUUGGAUAGAUGAAAAACAAAUGUUAAUUGUAAUUCCUGUACAAUUCGUAAAUAUCCCAGACACAACAUUAUAAAUUAAAAACCAUUAAGAAAAUACAAAUUGACGCCGUUUGCGCCGGGUUGCUGCGGUAUGCCCUCGGAAAAACUGACGGGAACAACACUGGCGUUUACAAUUAUUCGCCUGCAGUCGCGUGGAAAAGUGGUCUCGUCUAACUUCUUCCGACUUCUAUAUAUUAUUAUAGUCUAAUCUCUUCGGACGCGACGUUUUUCGCGAGAGACGCCGAAAGAGCGUACAAUCUUUUUCCGUUCGCCGGGGCGGGGCACGUGGAUAUAGCAUGCGGGGUCGUGCUAUACCGCGGAGUCCCGGGCCUAAAAUAAUAGUACUCCGGAGUUUAAAAUUAGCACCUCUUCCCCCCUUCAAAAAAAAAAAAAAAACAAACAACAAACCCAACGAGUAUUUUCGUAGUGGCGACCGAUAACAUACGUCGCCGGCGUAUUUCGGGGUCUGUAGGCUCGACGGAGAAAUCGGAUUUUCACCUAACCGAGUGUGACGAAACGUCAGAGCCGCGGCCGUUCCACGGCGUCCCCCGUUAACGUGACACGCUCGACGCGGGUACACGAGACCCGUGUUUUUCUCGUCCCGG